AAAGACGGUCGCUCAACGAUUGCAGUGCCAUUGAAACUAGUAGACUUGAGUAAAGUAGAGGUGGGCGGAAUUGAUAGUGUAGCGGUGAAAUGCAUAGAUAUUAUCAAGAACUCCAAUUGCGUAGGCAGCUCACUUGGCUUUUACUGACACUCAUGCACGAUAUCAAACAGGAUUAGAUACCCUGGUAGUCCACACUGUAAACGAUGAUAACUAGGUGUCGGCCGAAUAUGGUCGGUGCCACAGCGAAASSSUUAAGUUAUCCACCUGGGGAGUACGCCGGCAACGUGAAACUCAAAGGAAUUGACGNGGGUCCCGCACAAGSSSUGGAGCAUGUGGUUUAAUUCGAUGAUACGCGAGGAACCUU
This 364-nucleotide ribosomal RNA is filed under the name uncultured Cytophagales bacterium. RNAcentral's name for it is "bacterial SSU rRNA". It matches the Rfam family "Bacterial small subunit ribosomal RNA", at positions 597 to 972 of the family's 1533-position model. The record is from RNAcentral. Lineage: Bacteria; Pseudomonadati; Bacteroidota; Sphingobacteriia; Sphingobacteriales.